GGUGAUAAUCGCGAAGAGGGUACACCCGUUCCCAUCCCGAACACGGAAGUUAAGCUCUUCCUCCCCGAUGAUACUGCGUGGGCAACUGCGUGGGAAAAUAGGAAAUCGCCG
Molecule: ribosomal RNA, 111 nt
Filed under: Dictyobacter aurantiacus
Lineage: Bacteria; Bacillati; Chloroflexota; Ktedonobacteria; Ktedonobacterales; Dictyobacteraceae
Also listed under: 1 other name
Source: RNAcentral